This 134-nucleotide long non-coding RNA is filed under the name Pan troglodytes (chimpanzee). RNAcentral's name for it is "lncRNA (ENSPTRG00000053011.1)". Lineage: Eukaryota; Metazoa; Chordata; Mammalia; Primates; Hominidae. The record is from RNAcentral.
UCAUAGGUGUAGUUUAGGGUCAUGGUGGGUAGUUAGGGUUCACAAGACUAUAGUUAGGGUCAUGGUGGGAGUUACGGUCACGGGCUGGGUAGUUAGGGUCAUGGUGGUAAGGUCAUGGUGUUAAGUUACUUAGG